RNAcentral lists this ribosomal RNA (252 nucleotides) under uncultured bacterium. Its description in RNAcentral is "partial 16S ribosomal RNA". It matches the Rfam family "Bacterial small subunit ribosomal RNA", at positions 525 to 776 of the family's 1533-position model. The record is from RNAcentral.
ACGUACCGUACGAACGUUAUUCGGAAUCACUGGGCUUAAAGAGUUCGUAGGCGGCUUAAAAGGUGAGGUGUGAAAGCCCACGGCUCAACCGUGGAACUGCGCUUCAAACCAUUAAGCUAGAGGGAGAUAGAGGAAAGCGGAACUGAUGGUGGAGCGGUGAAAUGCGUUGAUAUCAUCAGGAACACCGGUGGCGAAAGCGGCUUUCUGGGUCUCUUCUGACGCUGAGGGACGAAAGCUAGGGGAGCGAACGGG